RNAcentral lists this ribosomal RNA (923 nucleotides) under Proboscia inermis. RNAcentral describes it as "partial Bacterial large subunit ribosomal RNA". It matches the Rfam family "Bacterial large subunit ribosomal RNA", at positions 23 to 1019 of the family's 2925-position model. The record is from RNAcentral. Lineage: Eukaryota; Bacillariophyta; Melosirophyceae; Probosciales; Probosciaceae.
GGGGAAUGCCUAGGCUCUCAGAGGCGAUGAAGGACGUGAUAAGCUGCGAAAAGCUACGGGGAUUGGCACAUACAAACUGAUCCGUAGAUAUCCGAAUGGGGCAACCCAGCAUGUUGAAGACAUGUUAUCCGCAAGGAGGCAAACCCGGAGAACUGAAACAUCUAAGUACCCGGAGGAAAGGAAAUCAAUAUGAUACUCCCCUAGUAGCGGCGAGCGAACGGGGACCAGCCGAGCCAUGAGUGUGAUUAGAAUGCGUUGGAAUGCGCAACCAGAGUGGGUGAUAGUCCCGUAUAAGAAGCAUGAUUGGACGUAUUAAGUAGGGCGGAACACGUGAAAUUCUGUCUGAAGAUCGGAGGACCACCUUCGAAGGCUAAGUACUCCUUACUGACCGAUAGUGAACCAGUACCGUGAGGGAAAGGUGAAAAGCACCCCGACGAGGGGAGUGAAACAGUACCUGAAACCGAACGCCUACAAUCAGUUGGAGGGGCCUAUGCGCCCUGACAGCGUACCUUUUGUAUAAUGGGUCAUCGACUUGGUCUCACAAGCAAGCUUAAGCCGUUAGGUGUAGGCGUAGCGAAAGCGAGUCUUAAUAGGGCGUUGAGUUUGUGGGAUCAGACCCGAAACCGAGUGAUCUAGGCAUGGCCAGGUUGAAGGUAAGGUAACACUUACUGGAGGACCGAACCCACAUCCGUUGAAAAGGAUCGGGAUGAGCUGUGCCUAGGGGUGAAAGGCCAAUCAAACUCGGAGAUAGCUGGUUCUCUGCGAAAUCUAUUUAGGUAGAGCGUCAUCCGAAUACCCUCGGGGGUAGAGCACUGGAUGGGUAAUGGGGCCCCACAGGCUUACUGAUCCUAACCAAACUCCGAAUACCGAGGAGUACUAGAUGGCAGACACACGGCGAAUGCUAACGUCCGUCGUGAAGAGGG